This 255-nucleotide ribosomal RNA is filed under the name uncultured bacterium. RNAcentral's name for it is "partial 16S ribosomal RNA". It matches the Rfam family "Bacterial small subunit ribosomal RNA", at positions 524 to 777 of the family's 1533-position model. The record is from RNAcentral.
UACGAAGGGGGGCUAGCGUUGUUCGGAAUCACUGGGCGUAAAGCGCACGUAGGCGGAUCUUUAAGUCAGGGGUGAAAUCCCGAGGCUCAACCUCGGAACUGCCUUUGAUACUGGGGAUCUCGAGUCCGGGAGAGGUGAGUGGAACUGCGAGUGUAGAGGUGAAAUUCGUAGAUAUUCGCAAGAACACCAGUGGCGAAGGCGGCUCACUGGCCCGGAACUGACGCUGAGGUGCGAAAGCGUGGGGAGCGAACGAGG